RNAcentral lists this ribosomal RNA (539 nucleotides) under Bifidobacterium pseudocatenulatum. RNAcentral's name for it is "bacterial SSU rRNA". It matches the Rfam family "Bacterial small subunit ribosomal RNA", at positions 160 to 710 of the family's 1533-position model. The record is from RNAcentral. Lineage: Bacteria; Bacillati; Actinomycetota; Actinomycetes; Bifidobacteriales; Bifidobacteriaceae.
GUGGUAAUGCCGGAUGCUCCGACUCCUCGCAUGGGGUGUCGGGAAAGAUUUCAUCGGUAUGGGAUGGGGUCGCGUCCUAUCAGGUAGUCGGCGGGGUAACGGCCCACCGAGCCUACGACGGGUAGCCGGCCUGAGAGGGCGACCGGCCACAUUGGGACUGAGAUACGGCCCAGACUCCUACGGGAGGCAGCAGUGGGGAAUAUUGCACAAUGGGCGCAAGCCUGAUGCAGCGACGCCGCGUGCGGGAUGACGGCCUUCGGGUUGUAAACCGCUUUUGAUCGGGAGCAAGCCUUCGGGUGAGUGUACCUUUCGAAUAAGCACCGGCUAACUACGUGCCAGCAGCCGCGGUAAUACGUAGGGUGCAAGCGUUAUCCGGAAUUAUUGGGCGUAAAGGGCUCGUAGGCGGUUCGUCGCGUCCGGUGUGAAAGUCCAUCGCUUAACGGUGGAUCUGCGCCGGGUACGGGCGGGCUGGAGUGCGGUAGGGGAGACUGGAAUUCCCGGUGUAACGGUGGAAUGUGUAGAUAUCGGAAAAGAACACC